RNAcentral lists this ribosomal RNA (975 nucleotides) under Triticum aestivum (bread wheat). Its description in RNAcentral is "partial small subunit ribosomal RNA". Lineage: Eukaryota; Viridiplantae; Streptophyta; Magnoliopsida; Poales; Poaceae. The record is from RNAcentral.
AUGCUGGAGCGGGAUAUAGACAGAAUCAUAGCAACUGGUGGUGCUGCCAGGUUUGUACAGAGAGAGGCCCAUGCUCAGAAUAAAAAUGGAGCCAACUUUAGGGUGAUGUGCAACAAAUGCAAGGAUUUCAGGCACCUGACUAGGGAAUGUAAGCUCCCAAAUUGCAUUAUUUGUGGAAAAAAUUCUCACAUUACUGAGGAUUGCAACUGGCUAAAGCAGAUAAAAUCACUUCCCAAGUUUGUUGGAUAUGUUGCUAGAGGUCUGGGAGUGCUGCUGAUACAGAAUUGUAAGGAUGUUGUGAACAGUGAACAAGUCAAUCCAAUGGCAAUCAUCACUAUUACUUCUGGUGAAAUUAAUGAAACUCAGUUCCUGGAAGGCUUCAAUUACAUGUUCAAGUGGGACUGGCAAUGGAGAUGCAAGAAACAUGGAGACAGGGCCUAUCUUAUGAGAUUUCCAAAUAAGAGCAGACUGAUUGAACUUCACAAAUUUGGAAAUUUCAAUCUCCUAGGGACAAAUGAUGUCAUCAAUGUAGAUAGUUGGACUUAUGACACACAAUCCAUAGGGAAACUUCACACUAUGUGGGUAAAGUUGGGGAAAGUGCCUGAAUGUUUCAGGCACUUCUUUGGUGCUUGUGAGGUGGCUGCUACAAUUGGUCCAGUACUAGAGAUUGACAUGACAACAAUCUUGAAGGAAAAAAUAAGAGUCAAGGUAGGGGUGAGAGACUUUGAAAGAAUACCCAAGCAUACUGAAGUGACUGACAAGGACCUCAUGAUCUACAGAGUGACUUUGGAGCUUGAAAGGGUGAUAGAGCAGGGUUGGUAUGAAGACAGAAGAAAAUAUGAAGGCACUAAGACAGACAAGGAUAUAGACUCAGAUGAUAUGAGAAAGAAAAUCAAAAUUGGUGGAGUAGAUGCAGAGGGGAGCAAGGAAACAUUUCACUGGGUAGUGUGGGUCUUAAACAGUUUGAGGAAAUGA